The sequence is a ribosomal RNA, 1297 nucleotides long. It matches the Rfam family "Bacterial small subunit ribosomal RNA", at positions 122 to 1430 of the family's 1533-position model.
UAACCUGCCCUUAACUCUGGGAUAAGCCUGGGAAACUGGGUCUAAUACCGGAUAGGAGCGUCCACCGCAUGGUGGGUGUUGGAAAGAUUUAUCGGUUUUGGAUGGACUCGCGGCCUAUCAGCUUGUUGGUGAGGUAAUGGCUCACCAAGGCGACGACGGGUAGCCGGCCUGAGAGGGUGACCGGCCACACUGGGACUGAGACACGGCCCAGACUCCUACGGGAGGCAGCAGUGGGGAAUAUUGCACAAUGGGCGCAAGCCUGAUGCAGCGACGCCGCGUGAGGGAUGACGGCCUUCGGGUUGUAAACCUCUUUCAGUAGGGAAGAAGCGAAAGUGACGGUACCUGCAGAAGAAGCACCGGCUAACUACGUGCCAGCAGCCGCGGUAAUACGUAGGGUGCGAGCGUUAUCCGGAAUUAUUGGGCGUAAAGAGCUCGUAGGCGGUUUGUCGCGUCUGUCGUGAAAGUCCGGGGCUUAACCCCGGAUCUGCGGUGGGUACGGGCAGACUAGAGUGCAGUAGGGGAGACUGGAAUUCCUGGUGUAGCGGUGGAAUGCGCAGAUAUCAGGAGGAACACCGAUGGCGAAGGCAGGUCUCUGGGCUGUAACUGACGCUGAGGAGCGAAAGCAUGGGGAGCGAACAGGAUUAGAUACCCUGGUAGUCCAUGCCGUAAACGUUGGGCACUAGGUGUGGGGACCAUUCCACGGUUUCCGCGCCGCAGCUAACGCAUUAAGUGCCCCGCCUGGGGAGUACGGCCGCAAGGCUAAAACUCAAAGGAAUUGACGGGGGCCCGCACAAGCGGCGGAGCAUGCGGAUUAAUUCGAUGCAACGCGAAGAACCUUACCAAGGCUUGACAUGUUCUCGAUCGCCGUAGAGAUACGGUUUCCCCUUUGGGGCGGGUUCACAGGUGGUGCAUGGUUGUCGUCAGCUCGUGUCGUGAGAUGUUGGGUUAAGUCCCGCAACGAGCGCAACCCUCGUUCCAUGUUGCCAGCACGUAGUGGUGGGGACUCAUGGGAGACUGCCGGGGUCAACUCGGAGGAAGGUGAGGACGACGUCAAAUCAUCAUGCCCCUUAUGUCUUGGGCUUCACGCAUGCUACAAUGGCCGGUACAAUGGGUUGCGAUACUGUGAGGUGGAGCUAAUCCCAAAAAGCCGGUCUCAGUUCGGAUUGGGGUCUGCAACUCGACCCCAUGAAGUCGGAGUCGCUAGUAAUCGCAGAUCAGCAACGCUGCGGUGAAUACGUUCCCGGGCCUUGUACACACCGCCCGUCAAGUCACGAAAGUCGGUAACACCCGAAGCCGG